Molecule: long non-coding RNA, 711 nt
Organism: Brachypodium distachyon (stiff brome)
Lineage: Eukaryota; Viridiplantae; Streptophyta; Magnoliopsida; Poales; Poaceae
Exons: 2
Source: RefSeq, a predicted model, not a curated record
AAAAUCGAGACGCGAGGGGGGCCUCAUGUUUUUUCAACGAGACGGGGCGGCGCUCGACCCCGGGGCCGCUCAGGCCGUCCUGCCGACUGGGGGCGCUCCGUCCUGCGACGACUCCGCGACGGCCGGCGAAUCCUCGGGCGACGUCUGCGGCGCAGCGAGCUCUCGCGGAGGCGAAGCUCGAUCCCGACGGGCGCUCUGUGCUGCCGAUGACUCCGCGGCGGCCGACGAAUCCUCGCGCGACGCCGACGAGUCGGUGACAAGUUCUGGCGACUCCGACGAGUCCAACUGCCGCCGCUGGUCCCGCCACUGUCUCUCCUAACUUCGCGGCUCCUCGUCACGUCAGGCUGGAAUUUUCGCCAAAGGUCCAUUAGCUGAGGCUGCUUCAAUUUUGGCUUCUCAUCGUACAGUUCGGCAUGAAGCUUGACACUUUGGCCUUUCCUAGUGCAGUUUGGCAUGUAUCUAGAACAAAAUGUUUUCUGAAAGACGCUUCUUUGAAUUAUGAUGCCAUGGCCGCCAAUUUUCUGAAAGAUUUACUUGCUUAGCAUGGACCUUCGUUUCUCUGUUAUGUGCAAGCAAGUUGAGACACAUUGUUAAGUGGGCAUAGUGGACAUGUUACUUUCUUCAUUUAUGCUGUGUGGCAUCCCCAUGAGUUUUAAGCAACAUUUGGUGUGUGAAAUACAGUACUCCUGUUGGUCAGUGAUUUGUGCCAAA